UGGGGGAUAUUGCACAAUGGGCGAAAGCCUGAUGCAGCGACGCCGCGUGGGGGAUGAAGGCCUUCGGGUUAUAAACUUCUUUUGCUCUGAACAAGGCAUGCUUUUGGGGUGUGUUGAGUGUAGGGGUUGAUUAGCGCCGGCUAACUACGUGCCAGCAGCCGCGGUAAUACGUAGGGCGCGAGCGUUGUCCGGAAUUAUUGGGCGUAAAGGGCUUGUAGGUGGCUGGUUGCGUCUGUCGUGAAAGCUCAUGGCUUAACUGUGGGUUUGCGGUGGGUACGGGCUGGCUUGAGUGCAGUAGGGGAGGCUGGAAUUCCUGGUGUAGCGGUGGAAUGCGCAGAUAUCAGGAGGAAUACCGGUGGCGAAGGCGGGUCUCUGGGCUGUUACUGACGCUGAGGAGCGAAAGCGUGGGGAGCGAACAGG
This 420-nucleotide ribosomal RNA is filed under the name Fusobacteriota bacterium. RNAcentral's name for it is "Fusobacteria bacterium partial 16S ribosomal RNA". It matches the Rfam family "Bacterial small subunit ribosomal RNA", at positions 355 to 776 of the family's 1533-position model. Lineage: Bacteria; Fusobacteriati; Fusobacteriota. The record is from RNAcentral.